Arachis stenosperma is the source of this 772-nucleotide long non-coding RNA. RefSeq lists it as uncharacterized. The transcript is spliced from 4 exons. NCBI's taxonomy places the organism in Eukaryota, Viridiplantae, Streptophyta, Magnoliopsida, Fabales, Fabaceae. The record is from RefSeq and is a predicted model, not a curated record.
CGCUGUUUCUUGUUUAUUUGAAAUGCAUGAGAACCAAAUUGAAGGAAAUUGAAAACCCUCGCGGCCCUCUUCUUUCUUCCCCCAAUUCAUAAAACUGUGACUGAUGGAAAUCGAAACUUGAAAACCCUAGCCCCUUGUUGCUGCUGCACCGUCCCAAGCUCUUCAGCGCCACCGCCGUCCCAAACUCCGCGGCGCCGUCGCUUCUUCCUCUUCCCUGUUUUGCAAAACCUAGAAAACUCAGCACGUCGUCUUCAUCUUCGUCGGCUUCGCUGUUCGUGGUUUGGAGUAGCACGCUGUCCGGUUGCCGCUUGCCUUCAUCUCGCAUAUCGCCUUGUCUCGCCGGUUGCCGUCCGUCGAAGUGUUAACACUUGUCAUCAUAACGAGUUAUACUAUGUACAAAGUGGUGAUAUUGCCAAACUUCCACUACUUUGCCAUUAUCCUGUUAAGGAUAAUUUUUUCGCACUGGUAAAGACAACAGAAGUUGAGUAGUUGCUGCGACACCGUUUAUAACAACUUCAUAUGGCUUCUCAAAAUGAAGGAACUAAGCAGAGGACAUGAUGUGAAGAAAAUAUGUUCUAUAUAGAUAUAAGAUAGGAUAUAGGAUGGGUCUUAUAAUGAUUUUGGUUAUCUAAAUGUAUUAUUUUGAUGUGUUCUUUACAUUUUGAUAAGAGACUUUAUCUGAUAAUACAUGUAAUGGAUAAAUUACACCCUAUUUUGAUUAGUGUUGUAAUGGAUAUCUACUUUUUAAUGAAACUUUUAUGAUUUACAUUUA